RNAcentral lists this ribosomal RNA (385 nucleotides) under uncultured soil bacterium. RNAcentral describes it as "bacterial SSU rRNA". It matches the Rfam family "Bacterial small subunit ribosomal RNA", at positions 26 to 414 of the family's 1533-position model. The record is from RNAcentral.
AGGAUUAACGCUGGCGGCGUGCAUGAGACAUGCAAGUCGAACGGACGAUCAGGGCUUGCUCUGAUCGUUAGUGGCGGACGGCUGAGUAACGCGUAGGUGACCUGCCCCGAAGUGGGGGAUAACUGCCCGAAAGGGUGGCUAAUACCGCAUGCGGAGGUUCGUUCAAUCGAACCUUCAAAGCAGCAAUGCGCUUCGGGAGGGGCCUGCGUCCGAUUAGCUCGUUGGUGGGGUAAAGGCUCACCAAGCCAACGAUCUGUAGCUGGUCUGAGAGGACGACCAGCCACACUGGGACUGAGACACGGCCCAGACUCCUACGGGAGGCAGCAGUGGGAAUUUGGACAAUGGGCGCAAGCCUGAUCCAGCAAUGCCGCGUGCAGGAAGAAGG